Perognathus longimembris pacificus (Pacific pocket mouse) is the source of this 1957-nucleotide long non-coding RNA. RefSeq lists it as uncharacterized. The transcript has 3 exons. NCBI's taxonomy places the organism in Eukaryota, Metazoa, Chordata, Mammalia, Rodentia, Heteromyidae. The record is from RefSeq and is a predicted model, not a curated record.
UUUGCGAUCAUUUUGUUUUUGUUUUAGGGAAGGUACAUCUUAGUUAUGUAGCUUUGCCUUAAAGAUGCUUUUUUUGCUCUGUAUUGUCUCUUUUAUGACAGUUAUUGAGCAGUUACAUAGAAUUUAGUAAAAUUAUAAUGUAUUUUAAAGGACUUUCUAGGUAAUUGUAGUGACAAAAUUGUAAAGAAGAAAACUGGACAAAAGGAUAAGGAAACAGGAAUUGAUCAGGACAUGAGGAGGUGGACAUACUGGCUGAUUUCUAUCAUCCUGGCAAGGCCAGAGAAUAAGGUUGAGAUUCAAGGGUAGCCUGAGCAAAAGUUCCUAAGACCUUUGUUUUGGUGGUGUGUGCCUGUCAUCCUAGCAACUUCAGGAGUGUGAAUAAGAGGGUCCCUGUCCAGGCUGGCCCAGACAAAAAUCAAGACUUUACUGGAAAAAAAGACAGGACCUGAAGACCCUGAAUUUAAACCCUCAUACUGUCAAUAAUAAAGAAAUUAAGGUAGAAAAAAUUUCUAAGUGCUAUUUAAUAUAGUUAUAUCAGUGAAGGGAUUCAGCCUAAUCCGGUAUCAAGAAUGAACUAUUUUUGUAAAAAUACGAAUAUUUUUAAAAACUAAAGGAAGAGUCUAGCUAGUAUUAGGUAAAAGAUUCAUUUUUAAUUGAAUGAAAAGUUUCAAUGGUAUAAAUAUAGGCUGUUUUGUUAAAAAAGAAAAACAAAAGUAUCCCCAAGGUUAGGUAGGUCUCUUUGUCUUAAUUCUUUCCCAUCAUUUCAGCUCUUUUAAACUUUUAAAAAAUAUUUUAUUUACUACUCAGACAUUUUUGGGAGAAGUGGACUUUUAAGGAGGUUGAAAGCCAUUAACUAGUGGUUCCGUUAAAUAAAAAAAAAUUAUUUAAGUGUAAUUCAAAUUAUUCUAAAUUAUUUAGAGCAUUGUAAAUAAAUGUGGUAGUAUUUCCUUUCAUUUUUUUUGUUUUGUUUUGUUUUGCUUAAGUGUCUCAUAUCAUAGCUUGAACUUUAACCUGUAGCUCCAGGUUGCAUAAAACUCACUAUUAUCAUGCCUCUGCCUGUUUUAAGUGCUAGGAUUCCCACGCCUAGCUACAAAGGUUUUUUUUGUAUAUGAUUUGUAUUUGUUUAUAAUAAUAGUAAGAAUUAUUUUUAAAGUGGUACUCCUUGUCUGAGACUCUUGAAAUGUUUUGAACAUUGUUUUAUUUAAGCUUUUUCACUGGAUUUUUAAAAGACAAAGCUUUAAAAUACUCAAUUUUUCUUCAGUAUGGAAUGUAAUUAAAAUACAAUUAAUGUUUAACAUACAUCUCAAAUACAUUUGAACUGUCUGCUGCUUGGAAAGUGCAUAUGAGUAAUCAUAGUUACUUUCUGAUAAGCUUUCUGUAGACUCAUUUGCAGCUACCUGAGAACUUCACUCAUGUUUGGGUGCGGAGUCAGAAGUCAGUACUCUUUAGUGUUCUUUAUUGCUAAAGAUUAAGAUUUUCAUGUGAAAUCGCAUCACUUAUUUUUACUUUUCUGAUUUUAGAAAUUCUGAAGGAAGCUUAAGAGAAGUGGAGCUGUGGGUCAGUUUAAGAAUUAGGUGUUCUCUGAGAAGUCUUUUCAUAUUUAACCCAACAACAGAGGGUGAAAUGAGAUUCAGCUGGAAUAAAUCUUGAUCGUUAAUUGCCACUGUAUAAAUUACCACCAUGUGAAUGUAGAAACUAGAAGAGUGAGAAGAAUUUUUUCUUUGCUGAUGUCUUCCUAUUAUCCUGAGAAAGAAUUACAAAUGAAAGGAAUGACAGUAUUGGAGUAAAUUGACAGAACUUCCAUAAAACCAAAGCGUGGCAGAAAGAAAGUAAAUACUGAUGAAACUAUAGAUCACCCAAGGGUAUCUCCUUCCAAAAAGAAUGUGGCGUUUCACUCUGAGAAACAAGUGGACACCCCGUCCAUAGAACGCCAAAGCUUGUACAUCCGCAUAACUUA